Molecule: RNA transcript, 3151 nt
Organism: Rosa rugosa (rugosa rose)
Lineage: Eukaryota; Viridiplantae; Streptophyta; Magnoliopsida; Rosales; Rosaceae
Exons: 6
Source: RefSeq, a predicted model, not a curated record
AAAUCAAAAAUAAACUCUCACCGCCUGGUAAAAACUAUUAUAUUCAAAGCAAGCUGAUCACAGGAAACCAAAGAAAAAUUGACUGUUAAUCCAGAGCUUUGGCCUCCAUUUCCAACCGGAGGAGGCUCUGCAAAAACUGGAGGAGGGAGCUAGGGUUAUCAGAUUCGGCUUCUGAGGCUGCUUGAUCUGCAAUUGAAAAACAAAGACAGUUACUGCUUGGGUUUGGAUUUGCAAAUCCCCCCAAUUUCCCCCAAAAUCCAAGAACCCAACAAGUCGGAAUUCUUUGAGCUGUUUCCUGCAAAUUUCGAAUCUUUUACAUGGAAAUCUGGAAGAAAAGAAGGAAAGAUUAGUUCUUUUUCAUGGUGGGUAGGUGUGACAAACCCCAUUUCAGCUGAAACCCUUCAUUUUUUUUUUUGUUCCCCCAAGAGGACCCCAAAAUCUUUGAUUCAAAGAUAUUUGUGACCCGAAUAACAAACAUGCACGCCCGCCACCGCAAUCCCGGAAAUGGGUACCGGUCUAAUUCCAUGGGUAUGGACCGUAUCGGAAUGGGUCGGAUCUCGCCGGAGGGCUCACUCCGCGGCCAUGGCUAUUACAACAACAACUCCGACCCCCCUCACCGCAACAACAGCAACAGCAACAGCAACAGCAACUUCAAUCGCGGCUACGGCCGGUCGAAAUCGUUCCAGCCGCCGCCACCUCCGCCGCCGCCGCCGCCCGCUCCGCCGCGAAAGGGGGACGUCUUUAUGGACGCGGGGCGGAUGGCGGCGGAGUAUCUGGUGGCGCAGGGGCUGCUGCCGGCGAGCGUGCUGUCGGCAAAGUGGCAGAAGAAGCAGCAGGUAGAGUUUGAGGGUGAUCACAUGAGAGAGGAGGGGAGGACGUCGGCGCUUUCCCGAUUAGGAAAUGUUUCGGAGGGAGGAGGGUACAGAAGAGGAAGGUUUGGGGGUGUGGAUGAGUUCAGUAGUAAUGCGAGGAAUAAGGGGAGGAGGAGGAACCGGGGCGGCGGGUAUGGGUCGGAUACCCGGCCCGAUUGGUAUGGGAGGAGUGGGACGUUUUCGGAUAGGCAUAGUAGGGCUUCUUCUGAGUGUGAGGAUGAUUCUGCUUCUGGGAGGCAUGAGGAGCACAAGGUGGGGAGAGAUGUUGGGAAUGCAAGGGAGAGUGAGGAUGCAGUGGAUUCGGAGACGAAGGAGGAUAUGAGCUCGAAGCCGACUUCUUCUGGUGCAAGUGGGAGUGAUGGAGUUGUUGUUGGAGUAAAUGUGGAGCCCAACAAGGUGAAUGAUGUAGAGAUGAAGGAUAGGGAUUGUGGCAAUGGUGAUGAAACUGAGAAACAGAGUGUUGUGGAGGAGUUGCCGGUUCAGGUUAAGGCCAAGGGAGAGGGGGAUUUGGGUGGUAGGAAUGCCACUGAUUUGUUGAAACUAUGCAAAUUCGCCAAGGUGCCUACUAGAAUUCGCUCGGCAUUGACUACUAGGGGUUUGAAGGUUGAUCCACUUCCAAUUAUCCAAGAGGGAAGCACGUCGUCUGACAUUGGUCUGCAACCGGGAGGAUCAUCUCAAGGUUUAAUCGAAAACCGUUCUCUUGAUGUUGCCUCAGGUACCCCAGUAUUAGAUAACUCUCAUUAUGUUGAUCCUGAAACUUCUAAAGUUGAGCCCAGUCAAUCUGUUGAGAAUUUGGUAGAAUUAGGUUCUGGAUUUGGUAUUGAGCAGAAUAAGUUUGAAAGGUCCCAGUCAUUACCAGAGAGAGCUUUUAAGCGUGAGAAUGAACAAGAAUUGAUUCAAGGGCCAGCAGGGCUUAGGAGUUUUAGCUUUGCAGUUAAGGAAAGAGGUGAGAAGAGGGCUUUAGAAGACCAUGAUAAGCAGGUGGAAGCAAAAAAACCAAGAGAAUGGCUUCCCUACGCAGAGUCAGAUGAUUGUUUCCAAAUUUCCAAUUUGAGCGAAAAGAAAGCAAGUCCAUUGGAGGACAACACUUCUCCUGCUGAGAAAGUGAUUGUAGCUGUUGAUCAUGACAGCUCAAUGGGAAAUGAUUCCCAGUUCCGAAAAGAUGAAGCUGAAAUUUGUGUCGAUUAUAUGCAAGAGAAGCAGCUUUUUCCUAAUUCAUUCGACCUUAAUCUCAUGGAGGUUAGCGAUGCACAUGAGAGUCGUGAUAGUAAUUCUGUAAUAAACUACACAGAUGUCUCUGGAGUGAAGAAAGAAGCAGCGCCGGUUGAUAUUGACUUGUCAAUGAGUAACUGCAAUAUGUCUCGUGAGAGCAGUAGACGCCCUGUGGAUGUCAAAGGGAUAGAAGUAAUUGAUUUAGAAAAUGACUGUAUUCCUGAAGACAAGGCCUUCAAUAAUGCGGAAAGAAAGACAGGGACUGAAUUUAUACCUCUAGAUGGCUUUUCCAACCAAGCACAGAACUCUAGUGAUAUCCCCGAUGGCCAAGAUGGUUAUGGGCUAAUGAUCUCGGAGUUGCUGGGAAAUGAUUUCCCUACUUGUUCUUCAGUACCGGAGGAUCUUACUCCAAUGCCUAACGAUAUUGGUCUUCCUAAUGCAGAGGGGACUCUUGCAGAUGAUGAUUCAAUAUAUAUGGCUCUGGGCGAAAUACCAUUAACCUUCAUGAGUCCCUGGGAGCGGCCACCCCCGCAAGAGUAUGAGAAGCCCUUUUGAUCCAGCUAAUUACAGAACUUCUCAGAUGCAUGAUCCGCAGGUGCCCAUAACUUCUUUUGGAGAAAAUCAACUCUUCUUGUCAUCUUGAUGUGUAGCACAGAGAUGGUGUGCCCAUCCAAUACUCAUGAUGCUUGCAAUUCCUAAUAAUAGGCAACUGUUGAAACUCUCGACCAUAUAGUAUUACAUAACAGACAAUAUUCUUGGCAUCGGUGUUGCAGUCUUCAAUACAAAAGGAACACACCGUUUUCGAGAAUUCAGAAAAUAUCUUGCCUGACUCAUUGGGGGCACUGGAAAAACCAACAUGGUUGUAUUGAAUUUAUAUGAUCGCUUAGUCUGGAAUUAACGAGUUAAGCUUAGUUUAGGUUGGUAUAAAUUGUGUGCAUUCUCUCUCUUGGUUUGGGUUGGCAUCGUGAUGAAUUUGGUUUCAGAGAUAAAAGGGUUAUUACUUUAACAACACUUAUCUUUUGAUAUGAACACAAUACAAGUAAUAAACGGAUCGAGUUAGUGUUAAA